CCGGUUUAAUAUGGAACCCUAAGGUUGAUUGCCUUGUUCGUAAACCCCCCCCCAGUGUUUUGUAUCAUCAGUUGCGGGUCAGUAUUAACACUAAUGAGCAUUAAUGAAAAUUUUCUGUACUGUGUAUGAGGAAUAAAACAGCGAAGAGCCGUGUUACUAAACAACGUCUAGAUAUGAACACCUUCGAAUAUUAUUUGAAUUUUUUGCUCGUUAGUCUAGUUACACGUAAGAUAACAACAUUAUCUACGUUUGUGCUUGUAUGGAGUAUCUAAUUUGGGUUAACUUAUACUUGAUAAAACGUCUUCCAAGAAAGUGAAUACGUUUAAAGGGUUAAAAUGGACGCAGCUUACAGUUACGAAACAGUCUGGCAAUUUGCAGGGAAUUCGGUAUGAACUUCAUGACAUUAGAAGCCACAAUGACGUCAGCUGCCUUAUUUUGUAACAUUGUGUAAUGUGAAAAUUGGAUUCUGUACUUUAAUAUAUGUGAUAAAUGUUUACAAAAUA
Molecule: non-coding RNA, 503 nt
Organism: Zootermopsis nevadensis
Lineage: Eukaryota; Metazoa; Arthropoda; Insecta; Blattodea; Termopsidae
Source: RefSeq, a predicted model, not a curated record